UACGGAGGGGGCUAGCGUUGUCCGGAAUUACUGGGCGUAAAGAGCUCGUAGGUGGUUUGUCGCGUUGUUCGUGAAAACUCACAACUCAAUUGUGGGCGUGCGGGCGAUACGGGCAGACUGGAGUACUGCAGGGGAGACUGGAAUUCCUGGUGUAGCGGUGGAAUGCGCAGAUAUCAGGAGGAACACCGGUGGCGAAGGCGGGUCUCUGGGCAGUAACUGACGCUGAGGAGCGAAAGCGUGGGGAGCGAACAGG
This 253-nucleotide ribosomal RNA is filed under the name uncultured bacterium. Its description in RNAcentral is "partial 16S ribosomal RNA". It matches the Rfam family "Bacterial small subunit ribosomal RNA", at positions 524 to 776 of the family's 1533-position model. The record is from RNAcentral.